This 253-nucleotide ribosomal RNA is filed under the name uncultured bacterium. RNAcentral's name for it is "partial 16S ribosomal RNA". It matches the Rfam family "Bacterial small subunit ribosomal RNA", at positions 524 to 776 of the family's 1533-position model. The record is from RNAcentral.
UACAGAGGUGGCAAGCGUUGUUCGGAAUUACUGGGCGUAAAGGGCUCGUAGGCGGCCAACUAAGUCGGACGUGAAAUCCCCAGGCUCAACCUGGGAACUGCGUCUGAUACUGGAUGGCUUGAAUCCGGGAGAGGGAUGCAGAAUUCCAGGUGUAGCGGUGAAAUGCGUAGAUAUCGUAAGGAAGACCAGUGGCGAAAGCGAGUCUCUGGCUAGCAGCUGACACUGAGGCACGAAAGCUGGGGGAGCAAACGGG